GGGUCCUCCUGUGCCUCCCUCUAGAAGCUGCACUCAGUGGAAGAGUACCGCCUUCCCCGAAUAGAGAAGGACUUGUCUUCAGCCAAGGGCACGCAAGUAAUUACUCUCCCCUGCUUCAAACAUGCUAUCAGGUAAAUAAACAAAUGGUCAAACAAAACCAAACACCCCCACCUUU
RNAcentral lists this small nuclear RNA (175 nucleotides) under Rattus norvegicus (Norway rat). Its description in RNAcentral is "7SK RNA". It matches the Rfam family "7SK RNA", at positions 101 to 331 of the family's 331-position model. Rfam says of the family: 7SK was discovered as an abundant small nuclear RNA in the mid-70s but a possible function has only recently been suggested. The record is from Rfam by way of RNAcentral. Lineage: Eukaryota; Metazoa; Chordata; Mammalia; Rodentia; Muridae.